This 437-nucleotide ribosomal RNA is filed under the name uncultured Glomus. RNAcentral describes it as "SSU rRNA". It matches the Rfam family "Eukaryotic small subunit ribosomal RNA", at positions 536 to 975 of the family's 1831-position model. Lineage: Eukaryota; Fungi; Glomeromycota; Glomeromycetes; Glomerales; Glomeraceae. The record is from RNAcentral.
CACGGGGGUUGGAGGGCAAGUCUGGUGCCAGCAGCCGCGGUAAUUCCAGCUCCAAUAGCGUAUAUUAAAGUUGUUGCAGUUAAAAAGCUCGUAGUUGAAUUUCGGGAUUGACACAUCGGUCGUGCCUUAAGGGGUAUGAACUGGCGUAGUCAAUUUCUCACCUUCUGGAGAACCGCGAUGCCCUUAAUUGGGUGUCACGGGGAACCAGGACCUUUACUUUGAAAAAAUUAGAGUGUUUAAAGCAGGCAUUUUGCUUGAAUACAUUAGCAUGGAAUAAUAAAAUAGGACGGCAUGAUUCUAUUUUGUUGGUUUCUAGGAUCACCGUAAUGAUUAAUAGGGAUAGUUGGGGGCAUUAGUAUUCAAUUGUCAGAGGUGAAAUUCUUGGAUUUAUUGAAGACUAACUACUGCGAAAGCAUUUGCCAAGGAUGUUUUCAUUA